CGAGAGGAAAACGCGCCUCUCGCGAGAAGAACCCCGCGGCGAGCCCGCGCAAAAGUGGGUGGGCGUUUAAAAAGGGAAAGAAGGAACAGGAAAAAAAGCCUCCCCACGUGCUCCGGAGCAGCUAGCGGAGCAGGCCCGCCGGUCACAUGACCUAGAGGCGGCCUUUCCAUUGGCCAGGACCUGCUCAGCCGUGGGAGCUUUAAAUUCGAGGCUGACCUACGAACCUGCGGCGGACGUCUUGCGCGCUUCCUGGUCCGUUGCCUUGGAAACGGCUUAACCCUUUCCUCUGGCAAGUCCCCAGGCCUUGGCUUGCUCCGCAGGUUUUUAAAAAAAUAUCUCUUCCUUGAAAAGAAUGGGUCUUAAAGAGGCCAAAGCAGAAGCACGGGAGAUUCGGCGACACGUACCCCAGAUGGCCAGAGAUCUGCAAUGUCAGAAGAGUUCCGGGAACCUGGCAGCUCCUAUUUGGUUUCAUAGGAAAGUGUUUACAGGAGCAGGAUGGCACUUAGGGCAUCCGAAAUUAGUCCUGAGACAACUCUACAUUUCCUGAAGAUGUGCCCAAGUGUCCAGCUUAAAAGCAAGGCCAAACCCUAGAGGAAUACACCAACGCUUGCUACCUAAAUCUUCCUGGAGAAUGACUUUCAAUCUGGAAAGGACAGACCAAGAAAAGGGACGGAAGCCCUAUACAGCUGAACCAAGAGUAAAGAAAAAUAAUUUAAUUCUUAAGAAUUAUACGAUGGAUAUCUAAGGUAUAAAGAAACCUGCAAAUGUUACCUCUGCACUACUCUCAGCAACCUCGAGAAAUCAUGAAGAAUGAGCUCUUUUUCGGAAGAACAGAGAUGGAUAAAGGCUAUUCUAACUUUCAAAGAAAGGGAAAGAGGUAAAUCAACUUCAGAUUAACAUUUCUAACUGCCUGUGGAAUCUCGUACGUAUUUUUAAUGUAAUUUAAAUUCUCAAGUCCCACAUGGAACCUAUCAUUUUCCUUCUAAUACCUACUGCUCUUCCUGACCCUAAGGCCCCAUCGAAGGCACCACAAUCGUCCAGCCAUUCACUAGAACAUGAAGGCCAUCCUGUCUCCUAAUUCAUGCCCAUUUACCAAUUUUAAAUCCUCAACUGUCUUUAAUCUCGCUUGUCCUUUCUGUCUCUACUGCUUUAGUCUAUCAUUUUUUUAUCAGGACAAUUCCUACAGCGUUCUCAGUGUUCACCUUGCCCUAGCUUUGCCGUCUUCCAAAAAAAACCCCUCCACACUACUUCUAGAACAGCCCAAUGAAGAUCUGUUCCUCUUCACCUCUUCAUCUACAUUCCCCACACUCUUGCAUAUACCAGGCCAACCUUUCAGUCACCCCACACUCUGAGAUUGCCUGAAAGCAGCAUGCACUCAUACUCCUCUGGGCCUCUUCCUAGGCUGGUUCCCAUGCUUAAAUUGCUUCUUUUCUUACUCUUCCCUCCAGACUUGGUUGAAAGGUCACUUCUUCCAGGCAGCCCUCCUUGACUGCCUCUGACCGCCUUUGUGUAUCUGGAGAGCCCACUGUGUGUCUCAUGUCAACACUUUGGCCACAUUUCUCCCUCCUACUAACCUGUGAGCCAAUUAAUUAGGUUUGCCACAUAAUCAUCUCGUAUCCCAGCCUAAAACAGUGCUUGGCCCACAGAAGAGGCCUGAAAAUUACAUAUGUUUGCAUAGUCAAUGAAUAAACUCUGAAAAUAGACAAGUGAGCCUGAUUUCAUCUGCAAAAUUUAAAAACAGAUGGGGAGCCAAACUAUGUUGACCAGAAGCAAGCCUAGACAACUUCUUUUUUAUGGUAAGAUUAUUUGGUUGGUUCACAGGAUGAGAACAUGGAAAGCAUUAUUUGGUUUUAAAAAAAAAAACACUGUGAAUUUGAGGCCACAGAACUUGUCUAUAGAAUCUAAAAGAGCUGUAUUUACCCUAAAACUAACAUCCCUGUGGAUAAGAAGCAAAGAUGUACAAUAAUGCAGCUGUGUGGGUUGAGCUGAGUAAAUACUCAUUUUCUCUUUCCUUUCUUCUGAGCUGCCCAGUGGUUUGCGGUUAUAAGACUUGAUUCUAAUUCUGAAUAUUGGUCCAGCAGUAGGGGGCGUAUGUCUUUUAUGUCUCUAACAUCUCAUACAUUCUAGUUACAUAAUAAACAUUUAAAAGGGAGAGUAAGGAAGGUGUGGGGAGCAGAUGGCAAAUAGUAGGGUAGAGGAAAGAUGUGAGUUAGCCCCUGAAACCACUGAGCUUUGCUUUGCUUCUUUACUUUUUCAACAUUUUUAUCGGGGACCAGAUGAAGGUAUGGGAAGAAUCUAAUAGUUACCGUGAACAGAGCACUCAAUACGCCAGAUGUGAUAUGUGAUAUCUUUUGGCUGUCCCCCCACCCAAAUCUCAUCUUGAAUUGUAGCUCCCAUGAUCCCCACAUGCUGUGGGAGAGACUGGUGGGAGGUAAUUGAAUCACGGGUGUGAGAUUUUUCUGUGUUGUUCUCAAGAUAGUAAGUCUCACAAGACCUGAUGGUUUAUAAAGGGCAGUUCCCUUGCACAUGCUCUCUUGCCUGCUGCCAUGUAAGAUGUGCCUUUGCUUCUCCUUUGCCUGCUGCCAUGAUUGUGAGGCCUCCCUAGACAUGUAUAACUGUGAGUCUAUUAAACCUCUUUUUUUUUUUUUCUUUUUUUGGAGAUGGAGUCUGUGUCAUCAAGGCUGCAGUACAGUGGUGUGAUCUUGGCUCACUGCAACUUCCACCACUCAAGUUCAAGUGAUUCUCCUGCCUCAGCCUUCCCAGGAGCUGGAACUGUGGGUGCCCACCAAUAUACUCAGCUAAUUUUUGUAUUUUUAGUAGAGAUGGGGUUUCAUCAUGUUGGCCAGGCUGGUCUCAAACUCCUGACCUCAAGUGAUCCACCUGCCUCAGUCUUCCAAAGUGUUGGGAUUACAGAAAUGAGCCACUGUGCCCAGGCUUAAACCCCUUUUUCUUUAUAAAUUACCUGGUCUCGGGUAGUUCUUCGUAGCCAUAUGAAAGUGGACUAAUACAAUGUACUUACAGCACCCAUUCCUAGAGUCUCAUUUAAUCCUCACACACCCUGGUGAAACAGCUCUUAGUAGCCCCGUUUGGUGGGUAAGACUCAGGAGAAGAGGAGGGAACACACCGGUCCAUGGUCCCUCCUCCCCUCUGAAGUUUUCCCUGGUCAUAGUGAUUUUUAUUUGUUUAACACUCACAGGACUUCUUUUUUAAUCUCCUUUCUGUCUAUAGAAAUUAAUUUAUAUGUGGUCUCAAAAUCUCUCUAAUAUCUUGUCAGAAACUGGUUUCUGAAGUCUUUUUAUUCUUUUUGCUCCUGACUCUCCUGUGGAACAGUAUUAAUGUUUAGACUUCCCUCUACAUUCCAUAGACAUUUAAUUAGUAAUUAGAAGCCUGUAUAUAAGUGUAAAGACUGUAUACGAAACGGAGAAUAAACAAUAAUGAAAAGAGUGCUAUGUGAAGAGGAGUAAUGGCAUCUCCUUCUGAUACCACUACUGAAACAAUGUAUUAAGAUUAAAAAAACAAAAACUGGCUGAGACUAGAGUUCCCACAGUCUGAAAAGCCAGCAGAGUCCGUCCCCGUACCUAGUA
Non-coding RNA from Callithrix jacchus (white-tufted-ear marmoset), 3584 nucleotides. The record is from RefSeq and is a predicted model, not a curated record. Lineage: Eukaryota; Metazoa; Chordata; Mammalia; Primates; Cebidae.